RNAcentral lists this ribosomal RNA (468 nucleotides) under uncultured bacterium. Its description in RNAcentral is "partial 16S ribosomal RNA". It matches the Rfam family "Bacterial small subunit ribosomal RNA", at positions 28 to 507 of the family's 1533-position model. The record is from RNAcentral.
GACGAACGCUGGCGGCGUGCUUAACACAUGCAAGUCGAACGGAAAGGCCCUGCUUUUGUGGGGUGCUCGAGUGGCGAACGGGUGAGUAACACGUGAGUAACCUGCCCUUGACUUUGGGAUAACUUCAGGAAACUGGGGCUAAUAUCGGAUAGGAGCUCCUGCUGCAUGGUGGGGGUUGGAAAGUUUCGGCGGUUGGGGAUGGACUCGCGGCUUAUCAGCUUGUUGGUGGGGUAGUGGCUUACCAAGGCUUUGACGGGUAGCCGGCCUGAGAGGGUGACCGGCCACAUUGGGACUGAGAUACGGCCCAGACUCCUACGGGAGGCAGCAGUGGGGAAUAUUGCACAAUGGGCGGAAGCCUGAUGCAGCAACGCCGCGUGCGGGAUGACGGCCUUCGGGUUGUAAACCGCUUUCGCCUGUGACGAAGCGUGAGCGACGGUAAUGGGUAAAGAAGCACCGGCUAACUACGUG